Molecule: ribosomal RNA, 301 nt
Filed under: uncultured bacterium
Lineage: Bacteria
Description: partial 16S ribosomal RNA
Rfam family: Bacterial small subunit ribosomal RNA
Source: RNAcentral
CAGCCGCCGCGGUAAUACGAAGGGUGCAAGCGUUACUCGGAAUUACUGGGCGUAAAGCGUGCGUAGGUGGUGGUUUAAGUCCGUUGUGAAAGCCCUGGGCUCAACCUGGGAAUUGCAGUGGAUACUGGGUCACUAGAGUGUGGUAGAGGAUAGUGGAAUUUCCGGUGUAGCAGUGAAAUGCGUAGAGAUCGGAAGAACACCAGUGGCGAAGGCGGCUCACUGGACUGGUAUUGACGCUGAGGUGCGAAAGCGUGGGGAGCAAACAGGAUUAGAUACCCCUGUAGUCCCUGUCUCUUAUACA